Molecule: long non-coding RNA, 526 nt
Filed under: Chinchilla lanigera (long-tailed chinchilla)
Lineage: Eukaryota; Metazoa; Chordata; Mammalia; Rodentia; Chinchillidae
Description: lncRNA (ENSCLAG00000025026.1)
Source: RNAcentral
AUGGCCAGCCAACAGGAUUCGGGCUUCUUUGAGAUCAGUAUCAAAUAUUUACUGAAAUCCUGGAGUAAUACUUCUCCAGUUGGCAACGGUUACAUCAAGCCUCCGGUUCCCCCUGCCUCAGGAACACACAAGGAGAAAGGGCCGCCAACCAUGUUACCCAUCAACGUGGACCCAGACAGCAAACCGGGAGAAUAUGUCCUCAAGAGUUUGUUUGUCAAUUUCACCACCCAGGCUGAGCGCAAGAUCCGCAUCAUUAUGGCAGAGCCACUGGUGAGUAUAUGCCAUGAGGCCUCCCUCUUUGUGAAUUCAUCUGUAUGCUGAAUUCUGUAGGCCCUCCAUAUUACAGGGCUCCAUAUCCAUGGAGUCAGCCAACCUCAGAUUGAAAACACUUGGAAAAACGAAUUGUGUCUGUACUAAACAUGUACUUAACUUUUUUGGUUGUUAUUCCCUAAAUAAUACAGUAUAAGAACUAUUUAUAUAACAUUCACAUUAUAUUAGGUCUUAUAAGUAAUCUAGAUGAUUUAAA